ACUCAAAUGAAUUGACGGGGGCCCGCACAAGCGGUGGAGCAUGUGGUUUAAUUCGAUGCAACGCGAAGAACCUUACCUGGUCUUGACAUCCACGGAAGUUUUCAGAGAUGAGAACGUGCCUUCGGGAGCCGUGAGACAGGUGCUGCAUGGCUGUCGUCAGCUCGUGUUGUGAAAUGUUGGGUUAAGUCCCGCAACGAGCGCAACCCUUAUCCUUUGUUGCCAGCGAUUCGGUCGGGAACUCAAAGGAGACUGCCAGUGAUAAACUGGAGGAAGGUGGGGAUGACGUCAAGUCAUCAUGGCCCUUACGACCAGGGCUACACACGUGCUACAAUGGCAUAUACAAAGAGAAGCGACCUCGCGAGAGCAAGCGGACCUCAUAAAGUAUGUCGUAGUCCGGAUUGGAGUCUGCAACUCGACUCCAUGAAGUCGGAAUCGCUAGUAAUCGUGGAUCAGAAUGCCACGGUGAAUACGUUCCCGGGCCUUGUACACACCGCCCGUCACACCAUGGGAGUGGGUUGCAAAAGAAGUAGGUAGCUUAACCUUCGGGAGGGCGCUUACCACUUUGUGAUUCAUGACUGGGGUGAAGUCGUAACAAGGUAACCGUAGGGGAACCUGCGGUUGGAUCACCUCCUUACCUUAAAGAA
This 644-nucleotide ribosomal RNA is filed under the name Citrobacter amalonaticus. RNAcentral's name for it is "bacterial SSU rRNA". It matches the Rfam family "Bacterial small subunit ribosomal RNA", at positions 899 to 1533 of the family's 1533-position model. The record is from RNAcentral. Lineage: Bacteria; Pseudomonadati; Pseudomonadota; Gammaproteobacteria; Enterobacterales; Enterobacteriaceae.